RNAcentral lists this long non-coding RNA (1515 nucleotides) under Scophthalmus maximus (turbot). Its description in RNAcentral is "lncRNA (ENSSMAG00000024022.1)". The record is from RNAcentral. Lineage: Eukaryota; Metazoa; Chordata; Actinopteri; Pleuronectiformes; Scophthalmidae.
AUGUUCCUGCUUGGAAAUGCUGAUUUUCUCUUUUUCUUUUUUUCUUUCAGUUUGCUGCACAGCGUCGUGUUGUUGGAGACAUUUCUCCUGUCGCCGGGCCGCAACUUUUUUCAGUUGUUUCGAGUUCUGGAGGCACAACGAGUCAGUGUCUGGCCCGAAGUGAUUGGAUACCUGGGGCAUAAUGUCACGCUGCCAUGCCAGUUCAUCCAAGGACCAGAAAAAGGCAUUAUUACUCAGGUUCAGUGGAGUCUCCUGCAACCAGAAGGAAAUAGAUACACCAUUAUCGUUUCUAAUAAAAAGUUUGGGGUUAAUAUUCCAGAAUCUCCACUCAAGGAGAAAGUGGCGAUAAAAGAACAAGCGUUGAUAAUUGAAAAUGUUGAGAUGAAAAAUGCAGGGUUGUACAUGUGCACUCUUGCAACCUUCCCCAGUGGCUCAUUUGACGGAACAACCAGCCUCAUUGUUCAAGAGCAGAUGCCGUUAUCAGCAGGGGUGGUGACUGCUAUAGCGAUUGCUGCUAUACUCGUGGUAGGGAUUAUGACAGCUGGAGCUUACUUCAUCUUCAUCAGAAGGCGUGAUUCCUCGGUCAGACACAGUGUCUUCAUUGACACAGGUCGGACAGUGAUGGAUGUGUCCGGGCCUUCGGUUCUUGAAAGAGACGAGGGUGCGGUCUACUCCGACGUCAAGUUCAGACCAGCCAGAGAUGAGACGUCCUCUGACAAUGACAGACGCACGAAGUCCACAUGUGCUGAUGUCACGUACGCCGAAGUUGUAGUUUUGGGUCAGCAGCCCAAAUGAGGUCCAGAAAAAAAAAAUCACCUUAAAGCUGCUGUAUGUACAAUAAAUUGCAUUCAUCCUAUUUUUGUCAUCAUGCAGUAUAAUAUCAGCAUAUUCUGACAUCUAUGGAUAAAAUGCUCACCUGCAACUCUGUAGGUGCUCUCACAAGUUCUUGUUUUUUUUUCCCCCUUCCAUUGGCCUGUGCCAGACCAAGCUGGGAUGAUUUGUGUUUCCUCCAUAACCUCACAACUGGGGGAUGUACAAGAAAUGUAACAUUUCUCAUAGAAGAAUGUUUUUCAAGAACAAAUGCAGUCCUUGAAAUAACACCACUUUUAGCGUGUUUUCCACUGUGUAUUCCACCACGGCACGACCGCUGCCAUGCUCAUGGCGUAGUCAGCAUGCAGUCAUUUGAUGAUUAGCAAAAAAACAAACUACAACUGAUGUUGUGUCAUCAUAUUGUGUCAUCAUAUUUUAAAGUAUUUGGUCACGUGUAAAAUAACAUUUUGACCUGCGAGAUGAAAACUCUGUUGUAGAAGCAAUAUGCAGUAUCCUCCAUGAAUGUGUGUGUGCGUGUGUGUGUGUGUGUGUGUACCAAAUUGAAUAACCUAUGCCUUUCGUGUUUCAAUAAAGAACUUAAGUCAACACCAUUGCGCCAUUUCACAGCAAUCAAUCUAAAAGUUAUAGAUAGUUCAGUCUGACCCAAAGCGGUGGACCAAUAAACAUUGCCAUUCCCAAAAGUUG